GAUAAAUAAUACGCUCCAGAUGUUUCUGCCUUCCAGCAGUCACCUUGCGGCAACUCUCCUCACCCCAGCAAGGCUGCAGCCACAGUCGAUUAUAACUCUUCUUUUUGGAAUCGUCCUCAGGGGGCACUCGGACGCUCGGGCCCUCCUCUCCCUAGCGCACAGGCUCAAGCAGAGACCUUGGUCCACUCCUGUCUGAUCGCAGCCGCUCCCCGCGAGCUGGACAGAUGUGCCUGAGAAGGAGGUGUGACAGAUGUGUCUGAGAAAGAAGUCUGACUGGAAAUUGAGGAGAAAUCCCUAACAGAAGGCAAAGGAACAGCGUGCAAGGAACUCAAAUCCCCAAGUGACCAGGCAGA
Jaculus jaculus (lesser Egyptian jerboa) is the source of this 353-nucleotide long non-coding RNA. RefSeq lists it as uncharacterized. The record is from RefSeq and is a predicted model, not a curated record. Lineage: Eukaryota; Metazoa; Chordata; Mammalia; Rodentia; Dipodidae. The transcript is spliced from 3 exons.